GUGGGUCUUUACACAUUCUACCAUCACAACAGAUGUUUCUACUACAGUGAAUAUUAACCAAUGAGGUGGGUCUUUCCACAUUCUACCAACACAACAGAUGUUAAUACUACAGUGAAUAUUAACCAAUGAGGUGGGUCUUUCCACAUUCUACCAACACAACAGAUGGUAAUACUACAGUGAAAAUUAACCAAUGAGAUGGGUCUUUCCACAUUCUACCAACCCAACAGAUGCUUCUACUACAGUGAAUAUUAACCAAUGAGGUGGGUCUUUCCACAUUCUACCAACCCAACAGAUGUUUCUACUACAGUGAAUAUUAACCAAUGAGGUGGGUCUUUACACAUUCUACCAACCCAACAGAUGUUUCUACUACAGUGAAUAUUAACCAAUGAGGUGUGUCUUUCCACAUUCUACCAACC
RNAcentral lists this long non-coding RNA (416 nucleotides) under Salmo salar (Atlantic salmon). RNAcentral describes it as "lncRNA (ENSSSAG00000083752.1)". The record is from RNAcentral. Lineage: Eukaryota; Metazoa; Chordata; Actinopteri; Salmoniformes; Salmonidae.